AGCGGCGAACGGGUGAGUAACACGUGGGCAACCUUUCCUAUCGCGGGGGAUAACAGCGGGAAACCGCUGCUAAUACCGCAUGUCGUCAUCGGUCGCAUGGCCGGUGAAGAAAGCAGCAAUGCACGAUGGGGUGGGCCCGCGGCCUAUCAGCUAGUCGGUGGGGUAACGGCCUACCGAGGCGAUGACGGGUAGCUGGUCUGAGAGGACGACCAGCCACACGGGGACUGAGACACGGCCCCGACUCCUACGGGAGGCAGCAGUGAGGAAUCUUCCGCAAUGGGCGAAAGCCUGACGGAGCGACGCCGCGUGUGGGAUGAAGUCCUUCGGGAUGUAAACCACUGUUGGUGGGGAAGACAACUGACGGUACCCACCGAGAAAGCCCCGGCUAACUACGUGCCAGCAGCCGCGGUAAUACGUAGGGGGCGAGCGUUAUCCAGAUUUACUGGGCGUAAAGCGCGUGUAGGCGGCUGGUUAAGUGUGAUGUGAAAUCUUCGGGCUCAACCCGAAAACUGCAUUGCAAACUGGCCUGGCUAGAGUGCAGGAGAGGGAAGCGGAAUUCCAGGUGUAGCGGUGAAAUGCGUAGAUAUCUGGAGGAACACCAGUGGCGAAGGCGGCUUCCUGGCCUGUAACUGACGCUGAGACGCGAAAGCGUGGGGAGCGAACCGGAUUAGAUACCCGGGUAGUCCACGCCCUAAACGUUGCGAACUAGGUGUUGGUCGGAUUGACCCGAUCAGUGCCGCAGCCAACGCAUUAAGUUCGCCGCCUGGGGACUACGGCCGCAAGGUUAAAACUCAAAGGAAUAGGCGGGGGCCCGCACAAGCAGCGGAGCGUGUGGUUUAAUUCGA
RNAcentral lists this ribosomal RNA (845 nucleotides) under uncultured bacterium. Its description in RNAcentral is "bacterial SSU rRNA". It matches the Rfam family "Bacterial small subunit ribosomal RNA", at positions 94 to 954 of the family's 1533-position model. The record is from RNAcentral.